AUUGAACGCUGGCGGUAUGCUUAACACAUGCAAGUCGAACGGCAGCAUGGUCUAGCUUGCUAGACUGAUGGCGAGUGGCGGACGGGUGAGUAACGCGUAGGAAUAUGCCUUGAAGAGUGGGACAACUUGGGGAAACUCAAGCUAAUACCGCAUGUACUCGAGAGAGUAAAGCUGGGGACCUUUAGGCCUGGCGCUUUAAGAUUAUCCUGCGUCCGAUUAGCUAGUUGGUAGGGUAAAGGCCUAACAAGGCGACGAUCGGUAGCUGGUCUGAGAGGAUGAUCAGCCACACUGGAACUGAGAGACGGUCCAGACUCCUACGGGAGGCAGCAGUGGGGAAUAUUGGACAAGGGGGGGAACCCUGAUCCAGCAAUGCCGCGUGUGUGAAGAAGGCCUGAGGGUUGUAAAGCACUUUCAGUGGGGAGGAGGUUUGGAAGGUUAAGAGCUAUUCAAAUGGACGUUACCCACAGAAGAAGCACCGGCUAACUCCGUGCCAGCCGCCGCCGUAA
This 506-nucleotide ribosomal RNA is filed under the name uncultured bacterium. RNAcentral's name for it is "partial 16S ribosomal RNA". It matches the Rfam family "Bacterial small subunit ribosomal RNA", at positions 30 to 523 of the family's 1533-position model. The record is from RNAcentral.